Vicia faba (fava bean) is the source of this 258-nucleotide non-coding RNA. NCBI's taxonomy places the organism in Eukaryota, Viridiplantae, Streptophyta, Magnoliopsida, Fabales, Fabaceae. The record is from the annotation of a GenBank genome assembly.
AUGGUGGUGUGCGUGGAUGAGUCGGCGGCUCGAACGGAGGGGCUUCGAAGGUAUCGAACUCAGAGGAAUCGUGCGAUGAAGUCUCGGUUGUUUUCUCUGUAUUUUUUUCGAUUCUUUUUUCUCUUGUUGGCUUUUGAUUUUCGCGGACGCUUGUUCACUGAUGGAGGCUUAUGCUCAAACCAAAGGGAGUUUCAAGGUGAAACUCUCAGUUGCUUCUUGUUUGGAAGAGCUUUUUGUGAAGGGUUAGGGAAACAGUAA